CCUACGGGAGGCAGCAGUGAGGAAUAUUGGUCAAUGGACGAGAGUCUGAACCAGCCAAGUAGCGUGAAGGAUGACUGCCCUAUGGGUUGUAAACUUCUUUUAUAAAGGAAUAAAACGAGGCACGUGUGCCCUUUUGCAUGUACCUUAUGAAUAAGGAUCGGCUAACUCCGGGCCAGCAGCCGCGGUAAUACGGAGGGUCCGAGCGUUAUCCGGAUUUAUUGGGUUUAAAGGGAGCGUAGGUGGGUUGUUAAGUCAGUUGUGAAAGUUUGCGGCUCAACCGUAAAAUUGCAGUUGAUACUGGCAGUCUGGAGUGCAGUUGAGGUAGGCGGAAUUCGUGGUGUAGCGGUGAAAUGCUUAGAUAUCACGAAGAACCCCGAUUGCGAAGGCAGCUUACUAGACUGUGACUGACAUUGAUGCUCGAAAGUGUGGGUAUCAAACAGGAUUAGAUACCCUAGUAGUC
This 460-nucleotide ribosomal RNA is filed under the name uncultured bacterium. Its description in RNAcentral is "partial 16S ribosomal RNA". It matches the Rfam family "Bacterial small subunit ribosomal RNA", at positions 338 to 795 of the family's 1533-position model. The record is from RNAcentral.